RNAcentral lists this ribosomal RNA (484 nucleotides) under uncultured bacterium. RNAcentral's name for it is "partial 16S ribosomal RNA". It matches the Rfam family "Bacterial small subunit ribosomal RNA", at positions 30 to 507 of the family's 1533-position model. The record is from RNAcentral.
AUUGAACGCUGGCGGCAGGCCUAACACAUGCAAGUCGAGCGGAUGAAGGGAGCUUGCUCCUGGAUUCAGCGGCGGACGGGUGAGUAAUGCCUAGGAAACUGCCUGGUAGUGAGGGAUAACGUCCGGAAACGGGCGCUAAUACCGCAUACGUCCUGAGGGAGAAAGUGGGGGAUCUUCGGACCUCACGCUAUCAGAUGAGCCUAGGUCGGAUUAGCUAGUUGGUGGGGUAAAGGCCUACCAAGGCGACGAUCCGUAACUGGUCUGAGAGGAUGAUCAGUCACACUGGAACUAGGACACGGUCCAGACUCCUACGGGAGGCAACAGUGGGGAAUAUUGGACAAUGGGCGAAAGCCUGAUCCAGCCAUGCCGCGUGUGUGAAGAAGGUCUUCGGAUUGUAAAGCACUUUAAGUUGGGAGGAAGGGCAGUAAGUUAAUACCUUGCUGUUUUGACGUUACCAACAGAAUAAGCACCGGCUAACUUCGUG